This 1346-nucleotide ribosomal RNA is filed under the name uncultured bacterium. Its description in RNAcentral is "bacterial SSU rRNA". It matches the Rfam family "Bacterial small subunit ribosomal RNA", at positions 28 to 1381 of the family's 1533-position model. The record is from RNAcentral.
AGUGAACGCUGGCGGCGUGCUUAACACAUGCAAGUCGAACGAGAACGGAUUAUAGCUUGCUAUAAUUGUCAGCUAAGUGGCGCACGGGUGAGUAAUGUAUAGGUAAUAUGCCUCUUACUAAGGGAUAACAAAUGGAAACGUUUGCUAAUACCUUAUACUCCUUAUUAACCUAAGUUAAUAAGGGAAAGAUUUAUUGGUAAGAGAUUAGCCUGUAUUGUAUCAGUUAGUUGGUGGGGUAAUGGCCUACCAAGACUAUGACACAUAACUGGUUUGAGAGGAUGAUCAGUCACACUGGAACUGAGACACGGUCCAGACUCCUACGGGAGGCAGCAGUGGGGAAUAUUGCACAAUGGACGAAAGUCUGAUGCAGCAACGCCGCGUGGAGGAUGACACAUUUCGGUGCGUAAACUCCUUUUAUAUGAGAAGAUAAUGACGGUAUUAUAUGAAUAAGCACCGGCUAACUCCGUGCCAGCAGCCGCGGUAAUACGGGGGGUGCAAGCGUUACUCGGAAUCACUGGGCGUAAAGAGCAUGUAGGCGGAUUGAUAAGUUUGAAGUGAAAUCCUAUAGCUUAACUAUAGAACUGCUUUGANNACUGUUAAUCUAGAAUGUGGGAGAGGUAGAUGGAAUUUCUGGUGUAGGGGUAAAAUCCGUAGAGAUCAGAAGGAAUACCGAUUGCGAAGGCGAUCUACUGGAACAUUAUUGACGCUGAGAUGCGAAAGCGUGGGGAGCAAACAGGAUUAGAUACCCUGGUAGUCCACGCNNNAAACGAUGUACACUAGUUGUUGUGAGACUUGAUCUUGCAGUAAUGCAGUUAACACAUUAAGUGUACCGCCUGGGGAGUACGGUCGCAAGAUUAAAACUCAAAGGAAUAGACGGGGACCCGCACAAGCGGUGGAGCAUGUGGUUUAAUUCGACGAUACACGAAGAACCUUACCUGGACUUGACAUAGUAAGAACUUUCUAGAGAUAGAUUGGUGUCUGCUUGCAGAAACUUAUAUACAGGUGCUGCACGGCUGUCGUCAGCUCGUGUCGUGAGAUGUUGGGUUAAGUCCCGCAACGAGCGCAACCCCUAUUGCCAGUUGCUAACAGGAGAGCUGAGCACUCUGGCGAGACUGCCGCCGACAAGGCGGAGGAAGGUGGGGAUGACGUCAAGUCAUCAUGGCCUUUAUGCCCAGGGCUACACACGUGCUACAAUGGCCGGCACAGACGGCAGCUUAGUGGCGACACUUGGCAAAUCCUCCAAAGCCGGUCCCAGUUCGGAUUGCAGUCUGCAACUCGACUGCAUGAAGUCGGAAUCGCUAGUAAUCGCAGAUCAGCCAAGCUGCGGUGAAUACGUUCCCGGGCCU